ACUCCUACGGGAGGCAGCAGCAAGGAAUAUUGGUCAAUGGGGGCAACCCUGAACCAGCCAUGCCGCGUGCAGGAAGACGGCCCUCUGGGUUGUAAACUGCUUUUAUCCGGGAAUAAACCCCCUUACGUGUAAGGGGCUGAAUGUACCGGAAGAAUAAGGAUCGGCUAACUCCGUGCCAGCAGCCGCGGUAAUACGGAGGAUCCAAGCGUUAUCCGGAUUUAUUGGGUUUAAAGGGUGCGUAGGCGGCCUGUUAAGUCAGGGGUGAAAGACGGUGGCUCAACCAUCGCAGUGCCUUUGAUACUGACGGGCUUGAAUACACUUGAAGUAGGCGGAAUGUGA
Molecule: ribosomal RNA, 339 nt
Filed under: uncultured bacterium
Lineage: Bacteria
Description: bacterial SSU rRNA
Rfam family: Bacterial small subunit ribosomal RNA
Source: RNAcentral